Molecule: long non-coding RNA, 2109 nt
Organism: Heterocephalus glaber (naked mole-rat)
Lineage: Eukaryota; Metazoa; Chordata; Mammalia; Rodentia; Bathyergidae
Source: Ensembl
UGCAGAUCUCCGAACUUCUAUUGCUCUGUCCUAGUGUUUGAUCACAAUUUGAAUAUACUUGGAUAUGGAGACCUUAAACAAUUUCAUGCAGUAUUUUUACCACUGGAGUUUCGAGUUUCAAAAUUUUUUUUUUUUGGUACCGGGGAUCGAACUCGGGUCCUUGCUAGGCAGGCAGCGGAACUACUGAGCUAACUCCCCGGCUCUGGGUUUCAAAUUUUUAAAGCAGCGUUUUCUUUGGUUUUUGGUGCCCAGGAUCGAACUCGGGACCUUGCGCUUGUGAGGCAGGCCCCGGAACCACUGAGCUAAAUCCCCGGCCCAAGCAGCGUUUUCUUUUUUUCUUUGGUACCGGGGAUUGAACUCUGGUCUUUGCGCUUGCGCAGCAGGCGGCGAAACCACUGAGCUAAAUCCCCGGCCCAAGUAGCGUUUUCUUUACAUCCAGCUUUGAGUAGCUUUCGGGCUAACAUUGGUCAUAGAUUAUAGAGAUUCUAGGAGUUUAAAAAACAAACAAACAAACCCGCCCACAUCUUCCGCCCAUGGUGAGGCAGAAAGGUGUGGUAGAGGACCAUUGCUCACGGCGGCCAGGAAGCAGAGAGAAGGAAAAGAGCAAGAGAGGAAGGGGAUGGAAACAAGGAAUACCCUCAAAGGUGCACCUCAGUGAUCUGCUUCAUGCUAGCUCACAUGUUGAUGAGGAAUGCUUAAGGAUAGAAAGUAACAGAGCCAGGAGAAACUUCCUGGAUUCUCAGGAUGUCCUGGGAUUUUCUGUACAUUCUGGCCUACAAGACAUCUGUGAACUGGAGAGCCCUCAUAUCAUCUCAUAGCUUCAAAACAGAGGAGGAACAGUGAAUGGCUUCCUACUCCCUGAAGGCAGGCAGGGGUUGUGUCUCUCCUGUGUGACUUCCUUUAUCCAAAUAGCCCAAAUCCCAAAAUAGAGGUAUAAUAGGGGCUCAGCAGGAUGACAUCCAUAAUUCAAGGCCUGACUAUUGCUGACUGCACAGAAAGUUAGAAGGAAACUGGCCUCUUGCUGGACCUUACUCAGUCCUGAAGCCUGUGGGAGUAAGGAGUAAGGAGUAAGAGUGCUUGUGAUAUCAGGGGAAGAGAUGUAAUUCCCAAACCUACCUGGUAUCUGAAACACGAGUUCGUGUUCUCUAAAAUCGAAGAAUGAAUUCUAGGAACAAUGGGGGUUAAGAGUAGGAAAAAUUUAUUGGGAGAAAGAAAGCUUCUGCCUAAGAGAGACAGAAGAGGGACCAGAAAGUGAGUUGCCUGCCCACCCCACUUUUCAAAGAUGUUUUAUACAGCAAAGCCAUGUGGACAGGCGGGUACAAAGUGGCACAAAACUAUAAGACCCAAUGGAAAUUUACAAGGUGGGCAUGAGGUGGGACAAACCCAUGACCAACCAAUAAGAUUACAAGUACAGUCACCCAGGUAAUAUUGAAUAAAUGGGGAUCAAAUGAAAAGACAAGUCACAUGCAAGGAAUUUCCCAUUUAGAAUAUCAAUCACUGCUUUCUAUCUCUAGGGGAAGUAGUGCUUCUUUUCCUUUUUAUAAUGCUAACCAGUGAAUGUGGCUCAAUUGUUCUCCAUGUUGGUUCCUUGCUAUAUUGUCUCCUGGAGGGCUGGUGCCUUAAGGGAGGCCUUGUCUACCUGCCAAGGAGAUAUCUAAUUAACUUACCUAUCUGCAAUACUUAAGAGCCUCAGCUGCAGAGCAGGUGUCACAAUCCUCCCUUCAUUGGGAAUCCAGAGGUGUCUGGCAAGUCUCUUGGCCACAGGCCUCCCUGGAGCCCAGAGCUCUUUGAAGAAAAGAUUCUGGGAACAAGUGUAAGACCCAGGUGAGACUUAGCACAAGUAACACCAUCUUGUUACAGGCCCUCCAUCUUGUCCCUGUGGGUUUCGGGUUCACUAAAGGACACAGAGUUCCUGGAAUGUACUUGUUUAUCUGUUAAGACACCCUGGAAUGUACCAUUGUUUCUGUGUAAAGAACAUCCUGUUAGAUAAGUAAAGAACAUCUACAAACUCCCCUAACCGUCCCCUAACUGCAAAAAUUCCGCUUCUGUAGUUCUGCUUGCUAAGCACCCCUGCAGCCCCUAUAAAACCUUCCAACCUCCUGAGCUUGG